Molecule: long non-coding RNA, 514 nt
Organism: Acanthopagrus latus (yellowfin seabream)
Lineage: Eukaryota; Metazoa; Chordata; Actinopteri; Spariformes; Sparidae
Exons: 3
Source: RefSeq, a predicted model, not a curated record
AAUCAGGAUGAGUGCAUGUGAAGGUGUAGAGGUCACACCGUGUAUGAAGCCCUGCUCGAAGGGCUCCGUGAUGCUCAGCAGAUCUCCUCCCUGGUUCACGCAGUCGGCUCGAGCGUCCGCCCACGACCUCAUCGACAGAUGAAGUCCCUCGAGCUGGUGCAGUAAUCAUCAUUGAGUAACCCAGGUUCCACUUCAUUCAUCCCUCUGAUGUGCACACAGUCCUCGUUGUCCUGCCAGUUGUCCGGCUGGCCGGGCACCCACGGGAGGAGAUCCUGAGAUCGGAGACAAAAACAGCCCAGAAUGAAAUAAACUGUUUCAGAAUGAGCAGUUUCACACUGGCACAUUGUGGAAACAGGCGUCCAUGGGAUGUGACAGGAAUUCUUUCUCUCUCUCUCUCUCACUGAAAGUGCAACUGUCAACUAUAUCAUUUAUUUAUUCAUCUCCAGCCCUCACAUUAUUUAUUUUAGAGACCACCACAGAGCUAAGAUUGUCAAACGGAGGUCACGUUCACGGC